UAGAGUUUGAUUAUGGCUCAGGACCAUCGCUAGCUACAGGCUUAACACAUGCAAGUCGAGGGGCAGCAUUUUAGUUUGCUUGCAAACUAAAGAUGGCGACCGGCGCACGGGUGAGUAACACGUAUCCAACCUGCCUCAUACUCGGGGAUAGCCUUUCGAAAGAAAGAUUAAUACCCGAUGGCAUAGCCCUUUCGCAUGAUUGGGUUAUUAAAGAAUUUCGGUAUGAGAUGGGGAUGCGUUCCAUUAGUUAGUUGGCGGGGUAACGGCCCACCAAGACAACGAUGGAUAGGGGUUCUGAGAGGAAGGUCCCCCACAUUGGAACUGAGACACGGUCCAAACUCCUACGGGAGGCAGCAGUGAGGAAUAUUGGUCAAUGGACGAGAGUCUGAACCAGCCAAGUAGCGUGAAGGAUGACUGCCCUAUGGGUUGUAAACUUCUUUUAUAUGGGAAUAAAGUUUUCCACGUGUGGAAUUUUGUAUGUACCAUAUGAAUAAGGGUCGGCUAACUCCGUGCCAGCAGCCGCGGUAAUACGGAGGAUCCGAGCGUUAUCCGGAUUUAUUGGGUUUAAAGGGAGCGUACGUGGAUUGUUAAGUCAGUUGUGAAAGUUUGCGGCUCAACCGUAAAAUUGCAGUUGAAACUGGCAGUCUUGAAUACAGUAGAGGUGGGCGGAAUUCGUGGUGUAACGGUGAAAUGCUUAAAUAUCAGAAAAAACUCGAAUGCCAAAGCAACUCACGGGACUGCUACUGACAUUUGACGCCCAAACUGUGGCGCACCAAACCUGAAUUUAUACCCUCACACUCUCACCCUAAAUCAAAAAAACGCAACUGUUUCGAAUUAAACACAAGCA
This 847-nucleotide ribosomal RNA is filed under the name uncultured bacterium. RNAcentral describes it as "bacterial SSU rRNA". It matches the Rfam family "Bacterial small subunit ribosomal RNA", at positions 9 to 873 of the family's 1533-position model. The record is from RNAcentral.